Molecule: ribosomal RNA, 700 nt
Filed under: Escherichia coli
Lineage: Bacteria; Pseudomonadati; Pseudomonadota; Gammaproteobacteria; Enterobacterales; Enterobacteriaceae
Description: bacterial SSU rRNA
Rfam family: Bacterial small subunit ribosomal RNA
Source: RNAcentral
GCGGCAGGCNUAACACAUGCAGUCGAACGGUAACAGGAACCAGCUUGCUGNUUCGCUGACGAGUGGCGGACGGGUGAGUAAUGUCUGGGAAACUGCCUGAUGGAGGGGGAUAACUACUGGAAACGGUAGCUAAUACCGCAUAACGUCGCAAGACCAAAGAGGGGGACCUUCGGGCCUCUUGCCAUCGGAUGUGCCCAGAUGGGAUUAGCUAGUAGGUGGGGUAACGGCUCACCUAGGCGACGAUCCCUAGCUGGUCUGAGAGGAUGACCAGCCACACUGGAACUGAGACACGGUCCAGACUCCUACGGGAGGCAGCAGUGGGGAAUAUUGCACAAUGGGCGCAAGCCUGAUGCAGCCAUGCCGCGUGUAUGAAGAAGGCCUUCGGGUUGUAAAGUACUUUCAGCGGGGAGGAAGGGAGUAAAGUUAAUACCUUUGCUCAUUGACGUUACCCGCAGAAGAAGCACCGGCUAACUCCGUGCCAGCAGCCGCGGUAAUACGGAGGGUGCAAGCGUUAAUCGGAAUUACUGGGCGUAAAGCGCACGCAGGCGGUUUGUUAAGUCAGAUGUGAAAUCCCCGGGCUCAACCUGGGAACUGCAUCUGAUACUGGCAAGCUUGAGUCUCGUAGAGGGGGGUAGAAUUCCAGGUGUAGCGGUGAAAUGCGUAGAGAUCUGGAGGAAUACCGGUGGCGAAGGCGGCCCCC